RNAcentral lists this non-coding RNA (233 nucleotides) under Pseudoalteromonas phage RIO-1. Its description in RNAcentral is "group I mobile intron". It matches the Rfam family "Group I catalytic intron", at positions 41 to 253 of the family's 253-position model. From Rfam's summary of the family: Group I catalytic introns are large self-splicing ribozymes. The record is from RNAcentral. Lineage: Duplodnaviria; Heunggongvirae; Uroviricota; Caudoviricetes; Zobellviridae.
CAAAGGCGCAUGUAAAACCAAUCUAAUUCAGGGAAACCCUAUCAGAAAUGAGGGCAAUCCUGAGCGAAGCCUUAACAGGAACGUGCAGAGACUAUCGAAAGCAGAAGGUUAACACCUGAGAAGUGAGUAGAGUAGGGACGACAGGAGUUAUCCCGAAACGGUUGGGCUACGAGAGUAGCGUGAUAUAGUCCGAUACUUGUAGUAAUACAAGACGUAAGGAUACUAACAUAUUG